GGUUGAGCCUGUUUGGAGACCUUUGCCCCAAUUUGCUGCGUUUCUGCGCUUGAAUGGACAGUCUGUCUUCCCACUGGACUUCACCAAGCCGGUCUUUUAGGUGAGGUGAGGAAACGGGUCCAGAUGUGAGGAGGCUUUUCAGUGAGGGUUUGGAUGAAAAAGGAUCUCAAAUGAUCCUUUGAAAAAAAGCUGCAAACAAACAUGAAAGGUAUCAAGUCGACUUUCCGUAAAAAGAUCAUGAACUCUCUUUUCCAAUCCACCAUCCUGUCCUUUGAAACCCAACGUCUGUAAUGUGGAGAUGUGUGUCUUAGAUAAAUGUUUGGAGGUUUAAUGUGAGUGUUUUGAGUUUUUAUUGGCACUCUUUCCGACAAGAAGCCCCACAGACUGAUGGUGCGGACCGGUCGGGUCCACUGGGGGUCAACCUCCUCUGACUCUGAGCAGAGAGGAGCUGCUGACACAAGACGGCGUCACACCGAGUCAAAACAGCAGCACUGACC
This is a long non-coding RNA of Xiphophorus couchianus (Monterrey platyfish), 497 nucleotides long. RefSeq lists it as uncharacterized. The transcript is spliced from 2 exons. The record is from RefSeq and is a predicted model, not a curated record. NCBI's taxonomy places the organism in Eukaryota, Metazoa, Chordata, Actinopteri, Cyprinodontiformes, Poeciliidae.